CGUAGGUGGCAAGCGUUGUCCGGAAUUAUUGGGCGUAAAGCGCGCGCAGGCGGUCCUUUAAGUCUGAUGUGAAAGCCCACGGCUCAACCGUGGAGGGUCAUUGGAAACUGGGGGACUUGAGUACAGAAGAGAAGAGUGGAAUUCCACGUGUAGCGGUGAAAUGCGUAGAGAUGUGGAGGAACACCAGUGGCGAAGGCGACUCUUUGGUCUGUAACUGACGCUGAGGCGCGAAAGCGUGGGGGAGCAAACAGGAUUAGAUACCCUGGUAGUCCACGCUGUAAACGAUGAGUGCUAAGUGUUAGAGGGUUUCCGCCCUUUAGUGCUGCAGCUAACGCAUUAAGCACUCCGCCUGGGGAGUACGGCCGCAAGGCUG
Molecule: ribosomal RNA, 373 nt
Filed under: uncultured organism
Description: bacterial SSU rRNA
Rfam family: Bacterial small subunit ribosomal RNA
Source: RNAcentral